This 76-nucleotide transfer RNA is filed under the name Candidatus Saccharimonadota bacterium. Its description in RNAcentral is "Candidatus Saccharibacteria bacterium tRNA-Thr". It matches the Rfam family "tRNA". From Rfam's summary of the family: Transfer RNA (tRNA) molecules are approximately 80 nucleotides in length. Their secondary structure includes four short double-helical elements and three loops (D, anti-codon, and T loops). Further hydrogen bonds mediate the characteristic L-shaped molecular structure. tRNAs have two regions of fundamental functional importance: the anti-codon, which is responsible for specific mRNA codon recognition, and the 3' end, to which the tRNAs corresponding amino acid is attached (by aminoacyl-tRNA synthetases). tRNAs cope with the degeneracy of the genetic code in two manners: having more than one tRNA (with a specific anti-codon) for a particular amino acid; and 'wobble' base-pairing, i.e. permitting non-standard base-pairing at the 3rd anti-codon position. Lineage: Bacteria; Candidatus Saccharimonadota. The record is from RNAcentral.
GCCGCUGUAGCUCAGUUGGUAGAGCGGCGCUUUCGUAAAGCGUAGGUCACCGGUUCAAACCCGGUCAGCGGCUCCA